Molecule: ribosomal RNA, 293 nt
Filed under: uncultured bacterium
Lineage: Bacteria
Description: partial 16S ribosomal RNA
Rfam family: Archaeal small subunit ribosomal RNA
Source: RNAcentral
GUGCCAGCAGCCGCGGUAAUACCGGCAGCCCGAGUGAUGGCCGAUAUUAUUGGGCCUAAAGCGUUCGUAGCCGGCCGCGCAAGUUCGUCGGGAAAUCCACUCGCUUAACGAGUGGGCGUCCGGCGAAAACUGUGCGGCUUGGGACCGGAAGAUCCAAGGGGUACGUCCGGGGUAGGAGUGAAAUCCCGUAAUCCUGGACGGACCACCGAUGGCGAAAGCACUUCGAGAAAACGGAUCCGACAGUGAGGGACGAAAGCCAGGGUCUCCAACCGGAUUAGAUACCCCUGUAGUCC